AGGUGCGAUCAUACCAACACUAAUGCACUGGAUCCCAUUAGAACUCCGCAGUUAAGCGUGCUUGGGAGAAAGUAGUACUAGGAUGGGUGGCCUCCUAGGAAGUCCUCGUGUUGCACCUC
RNAcentral lists this ribosomal RNA (119 nucleotides) under Vigna radiata var. radiata (mung bean). The record is from RNAcentral. Lineage: Eukaryota; Viridiplantae; Streptophyta; Magnoliopsida; Fabales; Fabaceae.